GAUGAACGCUGGCGGCGUGCUUAACACAUGCAAGUCGAACGGGAAACCUUUUAUUGAAGCUUCGGCAGAUUUAGCUGGUUUCUAGUGGCGGACGGGUGAGUAACGCGUGGGUAACCUGCCUUAUACAGGGGGAUAACAACCAGAAAUGGUUGCUAAUACCGCAUAAGCGCACAGGACCGCAUGGUCCGGUGUGAAAAACUCCGGUGGUAUAAGAUGGACCCGCGUUGGAUUAGCUAGUUGGCAGGGUAACGGCCUACCAAGGCGACGAUCCAUAGCCGGCAUGGGAGGGUGAACGGCCACAUUGGGACUGAGACACGGCCCAGACUCCGACGGGAGGCAGCAGUGGGGAAUAUUGCACAAGGGGGCAAACCCUGAUGCAGCGACGCCGCGUGAAGGAAGAAGUAUCUCGGUAUGUAAACUUCUAUCAGCAGGGAAGAUAGUGACGGUACCUGACUAAGAAGCCCCGGCUAACUACGUG
RNAcentral lists this ribosomal RNA (478 nucleotides) under uncultured bacterium. Its description in RNAcentral is "partial 16S ribosomal RNA". It matches the Rfam family "Bacterial small subunit ribosomal RNA", at positions 28 to 507 of the family's 1533-position model. The record is from RNAcentral.